CCAGGGAGUCGAUUGGGAAUUACUGACCGAUAAUCGGAUGAUGAGCCUUAUAGAUGCUGUAGUUGAAUAAGAAUAUGUUCGGCAGUCUAGCUUUGAUGGUCUACCACUAGAUGCUGAUGCAUAGUCGGAAGGUCGACUAUGAAUCAGAGAGAGCAGGUCCGAUUGUCCCAACAGUUGCCCCCUACUCCCAAAUCUAAGGUAGUUUGAUACAUGGCUUGACACGUUGGACAAAAGGAGUCACCAUGUGUCAUUUCAAACCCCAAUUUUAUGAUCAUUUCGAUUGUAGAUAUUAAUGAUCUC
RNAcentral lists this long non-coding RNA (300 nucleotides) under Elaeis guineensis (African oil palm). Its description in RNAcentral is "long non-coding RNA (EGUI_LNC010369)". Lineage: Eukaryota; Viridiplantae; Streptophyta; Magnoliopsida; Arecales; Arecaceae. The record is from RNAcentral.